This 2139-nucleotide ribosomal RNA is filed under the name Proteus mirabilis. RNAcentral describes it as "partial 23S ribosomal RNA". It matches the Rfam family "Bacterial large subunit ribosomal RNA", at positions 678 to 2798 of the family's 2925-position model. The record is from RNAcentral. Lineage: Bacteria; Pseudomonadati; Pseudomonadota; Gammaproteobacteria; Enterobacterales; Morganellaceae.
CGAGUCUUAACUGGGCGAAUGAGUUGCAGGGUAUAGACCCGAAACCCGGUGAUCUAUCCAUGGGCAGGUUGAAGGUUGGGUAACACUAACUGGAGGACCGAACCGACUAAUGUUGAAAAAUUAGCGGAUGACUUGUGGAUGGGGGUGAAAGGCCAAUCAAACCGGGAGAUAGCUGGUUCUCCCCGAAAGCUAUUUAGGUAGCGCCUCGUGAACUCAUCUUCGGGGGUAGAGCACUGUUUCGACUAGGGGGUCAUCCCGACUUACCAACUCGAUGCAAACUGCGAAUACCGAAGAAUGUUAUCACGGGAGACACACGGCGGGUGCUAACGUCCGUCGUGAAGAGGGAAACAACCCAGACCGCCAGCUAAGGUCCCAAAGUCAUGGUUAAGUGGGAAACGAAGUGGGAAGGCUCAGACAGCCAGGAUGUUGGCUUAGAAGCAGCCAUCAUUUAAAGAAAGCGUAAUAGCUCACUGGUCGAGUCGGCCCGCGCGGAAGAUGUAACGGGGCUAAACCAUGCACCGAAGCUGCGGCAGCGACACAAAGUGUUGUUGGGUAGGGGAGCGUUCUGUAAGCCUGCGAAGGUGUACUGUGAGGUAUGCUGGAGGUAUCAGAAGUGCGAAUGCUGACAUAAGUAACGAUAAUGCGGGUGAAAAACCCGCACGCCGGAAGACCAAGGGUUCCUGUCCAACGUUAAUCGGGGCAGGGUGAGUCGACCCCUAAGGCGAGGCUGAAAAGCGUAGUCGAUGGGAAACGGGUUAAUAUUCCCGUACUGGUGGUAACUGCGAUGGGGGAACGGAGAAGGCUAGGUUGUCCGGGCGACGGUCGUCCCGGUUCAAGCAGGUAGGCAGAGUGAUUAGGCAAAUCCGGUCACUUAAUGCUGAGAUGUGAUGACGAACCACCAAGGUGGUGAAGCAAUUGAUGCCCCGCUUCCAGGAAAAGCCUCUAAGCUUCAGGUUACCAACAAUCGUACCCCAAACCGACACAGGUGGUCAGGUAGAGAAUACUCAGGCGCUUGAGAGAACUCGGGUGAAGGAACUAGGCAAAAUGGUGCCGUAACUUCGGGAGAAGGCACGCUGGCGGUAGGUAAAGUCCCUCGCGGACGGCGCUGAAGCCAGUCGAAGAUACCAGCUGGCUGCAACUGUUUAUUAAAAACACAGCACUGUGCAAACACGAAAGUGGACGUAUACGGUGUGACGCCUGCCCGGUGCUGGAAGGUUAAUUGAUGGGGUCAGCCGUAAGGCGAAGCUCCUGAUCGAAGCCCCAGUAAACGGCGGCCGUAACUAUAACGGUCCUAAGGUAGCGAAAUUCCUUGUCGGGUAAGUUCCGACCUGCACGAAUGGCGUAAUGAUGGCCAGGCUGUCUCCACCCGAGACUCAGUGAAAUUGAACUCGCUGUGAAGAUGCAGUGUACCCGCGGCAAGACGGAAAGACCCCGUGAACCUUUACUAUAGCUUGACACUGAACAUUGAGCCUUGAUGUGUAGGAUAGGUGGGAGGCUUUGAAGUGUGGACGCCAGUCUGCAUGGAGCCAACCUUGAAAUACCACCCUUUAACGUUUGAUGUUCUAACCUAGGCCCAUAAACUGGGUCGGGGACCGUGUCUGGUGGGUAGUUUGACUGGGGCGGUCUCCUCCUAAAGAGUAACGGAGGAGCACGAAGGUUGGCUAAGCAUGGUCGGACAUCAUGCGGUUAGUGCAAAGGCAUAAGCCAGCUUGACUGCGAGAGUGACGGCUCGAGCAGGUACGAAAGUAGGUCUUAGUGAUCCGGUGGUUCUGAAUGGAAGGGCCAUCGCUCAACGGAUAAAAGGUACUCCGGGGAUAACAGGCUGAUACCGCCCAAGAGUUCAUAUCGACGGCGGUGUUUGGCACCUCGAUGUCGGCUCAUCACAUCCUGGGGCUGAAGUAGGUCCCAAGGGUAUGGCUGUUCGCCAUUUAAAGUGGUACGCGAGCUGGGUUUAGAACGUCGUGAGACAGUUCGGUCCCUAUCUGCCGUGGGCGUUGGAAGAUUGAGAGGGGUUGCUCCUAGUACGAGAGGACCGGAGUGAACGCACCACUGGUGUUCGGGUUGUCAUGCCAAUGGCAUUGCCCGGUAGCUAAGUGCGGAAGAGAUAACCGCUGAAAGCAUCUAAGCGGGAAACUUGCC